This 533-nucleotide ribosomal RNA is filed under the name uncultured bacterium. RNAcentral's name for it is "partial 16S ribosomal RNA". It matches the Rfam family "Bacterial small subunit ribosomal RNA", at positions 355 to 881 of the family's 1533-position model. The record is from RNAcentral.
UGGGGAAUUUUGGACAAUGGGGGCAACCCUGAUCCAGCAAUGCCGCGUGUGUGAAGAAGGCCUUCGGGUUGUAAAGCACUUUUGUCCGGAAAGAAAACGUCGUGGUUAAUACCCGUGGCGGCUGACGGUACCGGAAGAAUAAGCACCGGCUAACUACGUGCCAGCAGCCGCGGUAAUACGUAGGGUGCAAGCGUUAAUCGGAAUUACUGGGCGUAAAGCGUGCGCAGGCGGUCCGCUAAGACAGAUGUGAAAUCCCCGGGCUUAACCUGGGAACUGCAUUUGUGACUGGCGGGCUAGAGUAUGGCAGAGGGGGGUAGAAUUCCACGUGUAGCAGUGAAAUGCGUAGAGAUGUGGAGGAAUACCGAUGGCGAAGGCAGCCCCCUGGGCCAAUACUGACGCUCAUGCACGAAAGCGUGGGGAGCAAACAGGAUUAGAUACCCUGGUAGUCCACGCCCUAAACGAUGUCAACUAGUUGUCGGGUCUUCAUUGACUUGGUAACGUAGCUAACGCGUGAAGUUGACCGCCUGGGGAGU